GAUUAAAGUUAGGCCAUGUCUCUGGUUCUUAGUGUAGUAAUUGGGUGCUGCCAUAUUAUUUACCACAGUUGCAACAUGAUAUUUUCUAUGAAAUAAUAAAGCAUAAACUGCCUAAUAAACAGAUAGUAAUGUUUUUUUGGAUAUUUCAAAUUCCACAUAUAAUUAUUUUCACAUAUAAAACACAAAUUAAUGUCUAAACCAGGGGCAUAGGUAGACGGAACUAAGCGCAAAUAUCCAGACCAUGCUCAACUAGGAAUAUUUAUUUUUCCAUGUACAGCAGCUAUAUGACCUACUUUUAAGGACAUCUGAGAUUAUGUAAAUUAUGUUAACCAUGUCACACCAUCACCAUCCCCAACUUACGUAUGAUUUGAAAAGAAAGCGAAAUGAAAAUAAAGCUAUUCAAAAGGUUACAACAACCACACCUGAAACUAUGCAGUAGGAUGCUAUGUUAUUAAUGCUAAGCAGGAAAUCACCAGCAAAAGUGAAACCAGCUUUACAAAAGACCUUCACACAAAUAGAGUCAGUUUGGAUCAGUGGUACUUGUGAACAUGGAGCUAUUUGAGACAAUUAAAAAUGCCAAGGAUGUCCUCAAUGUAGUUAAAGGGCAAAGCUCCAAAGAUUUUGAUGAAAAAGUCUUCAAUAAUGUGGACAGUCUUGUUCCUGGAGAUCUCCUGCUACGAAAAAUGAAAGAUUGCUGGAAGUAUCACCAUGUAGGAAUUUACUGUGGGAACAAUGAAGUUAUUCAUUUUUCAGCUCCCCAAGGUAAGGAAAUUCUGGGUUCUAUGCGGAUCUCCCAAUCACCACUUCCAGAUGAAGAUGGAGAAAUUCACAAAAUAACUGUGAAAAAAUUUAAUACUGGACAAGAUCUCAAAGUGUUUCGUCUCAAGGAAAAUGUUCCAAGAAACCUUCAUGUUAACAUUAUGAAUGCCAUGGAAAUGUGUAUUCCAUACCAUCUCCUCAGUUUCAACUGUGUGCACUUUGCACUGUGCAUUUUGGAGAAAAUAAAAUGGCCUGCUCAAAGUAGAUCUGAAGAUGGGGCUACACCAGAAGAAAAUCAAGCUCUAAACCCUGCAGUUAAGGAUUCAGAAGAACGGGGUGGCGCAUAGAAUGACAUCCAUAAAAUGGAUUUUUACGUAAACUGGGGUAUUUUUAUGUAAAAAAAAAAAAGAAUAAAAAUCUAACAAAUCCCCA
RNAcentral lists this long non-coding RNA (1191 nucleotides) under Astyanax mexicanus (Mexican tetra). Its description in RNAcentral is "lncRNA (ENSAMXG00005012668.1)". The record is from RNAcentral. Lineage: Eukaryota; Metazoa; Chordata; Actinopteri; Characiformes; Acestrorhamphidae.